This 253-nucleotide ribosomal RNA is filed under the name uncultured bacterium. RNAcentral's name for it is "partial 16S ribosomal RNA". It matches the Rfam family "Bacterial small subunit ribosomal RNA", at positions 524 to 776 of the family's 1533-position model. The record is from RNAcentral.
UACGUAGGGUGCGAGCGUUAAUCGGAAUUACUGGGCGUAAAGCGUGCGCAGGCGGUUUUGUAAGCCAGAUGUGAAAUCCCCGAGCUUAACUUGGGAACUGCAUUUGGGACUGCAAGGCUAGAGUACGGCAGAGGGGGGUAGAAUUCCUGGUGUAGCAGUGAAAUGCGUAGAUAUCAGGAGGAAUACCGAUGGCGAAGGCGGGUCUCUGGCCACACCCUGACGCUGAGGCGCGAAAGCGUGGGGAGCAAACGGG